RNAcentral lists this ribosomal RNA (399 nucleotides) under uncultured bacterium. Its description in RNAcentral is "bacterial SSU rRNA". It matches the Rfam family "Bacterial small subunit ribosomal RNA", at positions 8 to 437 of the family's 1533-position model. The record is from RNAcentral.
AGAGUUUGAUCCUGGCUCAGAGCGAACGCUGGCGGCAGGCCUAACACAUGCAAGUCGAGCGCCCCGCAAGGGGAGCGGCAGACGGGAGAGUAACACGUGGGGACGUACCCUUCAGUUCGGAACAACCCAGGGGAACUUGGGCUAAUGCCGGAUACGUCCGUAAGGAGAAAGAUUUAUCGCUGAAGGAUCGGCCCGCGUCUGAUUAGCUUGUUGGUGAGGUAACGGCUCACCAAGGCUACGAUCAGUAGCUGGUCUGAGAGGAUGAUCAGCCUCACUGGGACUGAGACACGGCCCAGACUCCUACGGGAGGCAGCAGUGGGGAAUAUUGGACAAUGGGCGCAAGCCUGAUCCAGCCAUGCCGCGUGGAUGAUGAAGGCCCUAGGGUUGUAAAGUCCUUUC